GACGAACGCGGCGGCGUGCCUAAUACAUGCAAGUAGAACGCUGAAGGAGGAGCUUGCUUCUCCGGAUGAGUUGCGAACGGGUGAGUAACGCGUAGGUAACCUGCCUGGUAGCGGGGGAUAACUAUUGGAAACGAUAGCUAAUACCGCAUAAUAGCAGUUGUUGCAUGACAUUUGCUUAAAAGGUGCAAUUGCAUCACUACCAGAUGGACCUGCGUUGUAUUAGCUAGUUGGUGGGGUAACGGCUCACCAAGGCGACGAUACAUAGCCGACCUGAGAGGGUGAUCGGCCACACUGGGACUGAGACACGGCCCAGACUCCUACGGGAGGCAGCAGUAGGGAAUCUUCGGCAAUGGACGGAAGUCUGACCGAGCAACGCCGCGUGAGUGAAGAAGGUUUUCGGAUCGUAAAGCUCUGUUGUAAGAGAAGAACGAGUGUGAGAGUGGAAAG
RNAcentral lists this ribosomal RNA (447 nucleotides) under Streptococcus mitis. RNAcentral describes it as "bacterial SSU rRNA". It matches the Rfam family "Bacterial small subunit ribosomal RNA", at positions 28 to 464 of the family's 1533-position model. The record is from RNAcentral. Lineage: Bacteria; Bacillati; Bacillota; Bacilli; Lactobacillales; Streptococcaceae.